GACAGAGGAGCCAAGCGUUGUCCGGACUGACUGGGCGUAAAGCGCCCGCAGGCGGCCGUGCGCGUGGGGUGUGAAAGCUCGCGGCUUAACUGCGAGAGGCCAUCCCAUACGGCACGGCUCGAGCCGUCCAGAGGCCGGUGGAAUUGCCGGUGUAGUGGUGAAAUGCGUAGAGAUCGGGAGGAACACCAGUGGCGAAGGCGACUUCUUGGCCUGUUCUUGACGCUGAGGCGCGAAAGCUGGGGAGCAAACGGGAUUAGAUG
This 260-nucleotide ribosomal RNA is filed under the name uncultured bacterium. Its description in RNAcentral is "partial 16S ribosomal RNA". It matches the Rfam family "Bacterial small subunit ribosomal RNA", at positions 524 to 784 of the family's 1533-position model. The record is from RNAcentral.